Molecule: ribosomal RNA, 400 nt
Filed under: uncultured bacterium
Lineage: Bacteria
Description: bacterial SSU rRNA
Rfam family: Bacterial small subunit ribosomal RNA
Source: RNAcentral
GAAUCUUGCACAAUGGAGGAAACUCUGAUGCAGCGACGCCGCGUGAGCGAUGAAGCCUUUCGGGGUGUAAAGCUCUUACGCCAGGGACGAUCGUGACGGUACCUGGAGAAGCAGCUGCGGCUAACUACGUGCCAGCAGCCGCGGUAAUACGUAGGCAGCAAGCGUUGUUCGGAAUUACUGGGCGUAAAGGGUGCGUAGGCGGUGCUCUAAGUUUGGUGUGAAAUCUCCCGGCUCAACUGGGAGGGUGCGCCGAAAACUGGGGUGCUUGAGUGCGGGAGAGGAAAGCGGAAUUCCUGGUGUAGCGGUGAAAUGCGUAGAGAUCAGGAGGAACACCUGCGGUGUAGACGGCUUUCUGGACCGUAACUGACGCUGAGGCACGAAAGCGUGGGGAGCAAACAGG